AGAGUUUGAUCCUGGCUCAGAACGAACGCUGGCGGCAUGCCUAACACAUGCAAGUCGAACGCCCGUAGCAAUACGGGAGUGGCAGACGGGUGCAAAACGCGUGGGAACCUACCCUAGGGUUCGGAAUAACCGCGGGAAACUGCGGCUAAUACCGGAUACGUCCUUCGGGAGAAAGAUUUAUCGCCCUUGGAGGGGCCCGCGUCUGAUUAGCUAGUUGGUGAGGUAACGGCUCACCAAGGCGACGAUCAGUAGCUGGUCUGAGAGGAUGAUCAGCCACACUGGAACUGAGACACGGUCCAGACUCCUACGGGAGGCAGCAGUGGGGAAUAUUGGACAAUGGGGGCAACCCUGAUCCAGCAAUGCCGCGUGGGUGAUGAAGGCCUUCGGGUUGUAAAGCCCUUUUGGCGGGGACGAUGAUGACGGUACCCGCCGAAUAAGCUCCGGCUAACUUCGUGCCAGCAGCCGCGGUAAUACGAAGGGAGCUAGCGUUGUUCGGAAUUACUGGGCGUAAAGGGCGCGUAGGCGGUUUCGAUAGUCGGGCGUGAAAUCCCCAGG
Molecule: ribosomal RNA, 555 nt
Filed under: uncultured freshwater bacterium
Lineage: Bacteria
Description: bacterial SSU rRNA
Rfam family: Bacterial small subunit ribosomal RNA
Source: RNAcentral